AUUGAACGCUGGCGGCAGGCCUAACACAUGCAAGUCGGACGGUAGCACAGAGAGCUUGCUCUCGGGUGACGAGUGGCGGACGGGUGAGUAAUGUCUGGGGAUCUGCCCGAUAGAGGGGGAUAACCACUGGAAACGGUGGCUAAUACCGCAUAACGUCGCAAGACCAAAGAGGGGGACCUUCGGGCCUCUCACUAUCGGAUGAACCCAGAUGGGAUUAGCUAGUAGGCGGGGUAACGGCCCACCUAGGCGACGAUCCCUAGCUGGUCUGAGAGGAUGACCAGCCACACUGGAACGGAGACACGGUCCAGACUCCUACGGGAGGCAGCAGUGGGGAAUAGUGCAGAAUGGGCGCAAGCCUGAUGCAGCCAUGCCGCGUGUAGGAAGAAGGCCUUCGGGUUGUAAAGUACUUUCAGCGGGGAGGAGGGCGAUGUGGUUAAUAACCGCAUUGAUUGACGUUACCCGCAGAAGAAGCACCGGCUAACUCCGUGCCAGCCGCCGCAGUAA
This 504-nucleotide ribosomal RNA is filed under the name uncultured bacterium. RNAcentral's name for it is "partial 16S ribosomal RNA". It matches the Rfam family "Bacterial small subunit ribosomal RNA", at positions 29 to 523 of the family's 1533-position model. The record is from RNAcentral.